Molecule: ribosomal RNA, 453 nt
Filed under: uncultured Desulfobulbus sp.
Lineage: Bacteria; Pseudomonadati; Thermodesulfobacteriota; Desulfobulbia; Desulfobulbales; Desulfobulbaceae
Description: bacterial SSU rRNA
Rfam family: Bacterial small subunit ribosomal RNA
Source: RNAcentral
UGGAGUAUGUGGUUUAAUUCGAUGCAACGCGAGAACCUUACCUGGUCUUGACAUCCCGGAGACCCUUAGGAAACUAGGGGUGCUUCCAUCUGGAAGAAUCUGGAGACAGGUGCUGCAUGGCUGUCGUCAGCUCGUGUCGUGAGAUGUUGGGUUAAGUCCCGCAACGAGCGCAACCCUUGCCUUUAGUUGCCAGCAGUUCGGCUGGGCACUCUAAAGGGACUGCCGGUGUUAAACCGGAGGAAGGUGGGGAUGACGUCAAGUCCUCAUGGCCUUUAUGACCAGGGCUACACACGUACUACAAUGGCCGAUACAAAGGGCAGCGACACUGCGAGGUGAAGCCAAUCCCGUAAAAUCGGUCUCAGUCCGGAUUGGAGUCUGCAACUCGACUCCAUGAAGUUGGAAUCGCUAGUAAUCGUGGAUCAGCAUGCCACGGUGAAUACGUUCCCGGGCCUU